RNAcentral lists this long non-coding RNA (1579 nucleotides) under Gorilla gorilla (western gorilla). RNAcentral describes it as "long non-coding RNA NONGGOT009608". Lineage: Eukaryota; Metazoa; Chordata; Mammalia; Primates; Hominidae. The record is from RNAcentral.
CGGGGCAAAUACACUUUAUUCAGUCCUGGCAUCAGACUGGCGGAGUCCUGCUGUGGGUGCCAGUGCCCCAGACAGAGGGACCCCACCCCUCAGCUACGAUACUAGUUCUCCAAGACCACAGACAGUGACAUCUCUUCACUCACAUGACGCCCAGAGCCGGAGCACCAAGCUUAAAGGAGGCAGCUGGUGGCUUUGUCAGCGACGGGAACGCGUGGGGCAGAGACCUGCAGAGACCCUGGGCAGGGGUCCGGAGGACUCUGGGACCGUUUGUUCCUGAGAUUUGUGUGUGUGAAUGAGAGUGUGUGAGCCACCCGGGAGGGUGAACACACGCCGGUGAGAUACAGGUAGUCACAGCAACAGGGACAGGGCUCCCGAGGGCACCCUGAACUGGACACAACUUCCUCCUAACAGCAGCGUUCUCCCCAUUUCUCACGUGGAAAAACCGAGGUGCAAACGGCCCAUCACUACUCGGAAUCCAUUCUCAGUCUCACUGGCCAAGUCGAUGGUCUCUCCCAAACCAGAUGUUUAAAAGCGAGAGUCUUUCUGCCAUCACAUCUGCUAUCCACGCCUCAGUCCCAAACCCCUAGCACCAAAGUGCCUCAGUUUUUCCCGCUGUAUACUGCAGCUUGAGUACUGAGGGUGGACCUGGGUGACAGGAAGGGCCGGUGGGCUUAGGGAGGAGCCCAGGUUGCGGGUGCCCUGAGGUGAGGGGGCACUUCCCAGGAGGGGGUGGGGAAGGUGCAGCAGGGAUCCUGUCCCCAAACAGACUGGUAAGGUGCCUUGGUUUUUAGUUUUCUUGGGUGGUCCCUUCCUCUACUGCUGGAUUUCCAGAGAAAGACCUUACCUCUCAAUUCCCAGUUGGGGGAAAAAAGGGACGUAUAGAUAGGCUGUAGAGGCAGCCACGCGACCGGAGAGGUGGUGCGCGUGGGUGUAGGAGACCCCAUACCGGAAAAGGGGCUAUGCCACUUGGGAGAGUUUCAGGCCCAAACCAACCCUUCCAAGUGCUCCUCCCAUGAAGGCAGCGACGCCCCGUUGGGUGGAGAGAGGAAACCUAGGGCUCCCGGAUCAAAGGAUUUCCCAGGAUCGCUCUACAUUCGCCCCCGCUUUUGCCCGGAGCGGGCGAAGAGUGCGGCUCCACUGGGACCAGCCCCCUCCUCCCCAGAAGCAUUAAGCAUGCGCACGAAGGGGGUGGGCCCCAGCGGAGAGGCGGGCCCUAGCGCUCCGGGGAUAAAAGGAGUGCGCCCCUCCCCCCAGGGAAGGGAGGGGCACAGGAGGAGCGUGCGUUGCCACCCAGCCGCAUCGCCCCCCUAACCCGGAGAAGGCAGGCUGGGCGAGGGAGGAGAGAUUCCGGAGCAAAGGAGGGGGCGGGUCCUCCGGCCACGAGGAGGGGCGUGUGCAAAAGGGGGGAGAACUGGGGAGCGAGGAGCUGGGCGCUCGGGCCCAACGGACGGCGGGGGGGGAAGGUCAGCGCGGUCUCAGGCGGGCUCGGCGCGCCCCCGCCGCCUCCGGCAAGUUGCGUCCUGGCGCACAACACACAUUGUUUUGCGGGGGCCGAGGAAUCGCACCCUCCGGGCCCCCG